RNAcentral lists this long non-coding RNA (205 nucleotides) under Elaeis guineensis (African oil palm). RNAcentral describes it as "long non-coding RNA (EGUI_LNC072704)". Lineage: Eukaryota; Viridiplantae; Streptophyta; Magnoliopsida; Arecales; Arecaceae. The record is from RNAcentral.
CCGAAAACCAUCGCCGCAGCUUCUUAAUCUCUCCUGACGAUGGUUCCGGCGAAAUCCACAUCGGGCACCCAAGGAGCGCCCUCUUCCACCCAUUUCCCUGGUCAGAACCCCCUUGUGAGCUCCCGGGACAUCGCCGGGGUUGCUUGCCAUCUCCACCUUAGUCACCACCCGUUGCCGACCAGUUGAUCGCCGGCAAUCACACCAA